UGUACAGGUGAGAGAUAGAGGGACAGGUGAUGUACAGGUGAGAGAUAGAGGGACAGGUGCUGUACAGGUGAGAGAUAGAGGGACAGGUGCUGUACAGGUGAGAGGCAGAGGGACAGGUGAUGUACAGGUGAGAGGCAGAGGGACAGGUGAUGUACAGGUGAGAGAUAGAGGGACAGGUGAUGUACAGGUGAGAGGCAGAGGGACAGGUGAUUUAGAGGUGAGAGGCAGAGGGACAGGUGAGAGGUAGAGGGACAGGUGAGAGAUAGAGGGACAGUUGAGAGGCAGAGGGACAGGUGAGAGGCAGAGGGACAGGUGAUGUACAGGUGAGAGGCAGAGGGACAGGUGAGAGAUAGUGUAACAGGUGAUGUACAGCUGAGAGGCAGAGGGACAGGUGAGAGAUAGAGGGACAGGUGAUGUACAGGUGAGAGAUAGAGGGACAGGAGAUGUACAGGUGAGAGAUAGAGGGACAGCUGUGGACAGAUGAGAGAUAGUGUGACAGGUGAUGUACAGGUGAGAGGCAGAGGGACAGGUGAUGUAC
Long non-coding RNA from Oncorhynchus masou masou (cherry salmon), 538 nucleotides. RefSeq lists it as uncharacterized. The transcript is spliced from 3 exons. The record is from RefSeq and is a predicted model, not a curated record. Lineage: Eukaryota; Metazoa; Chordata; Actinopteri; Salmoniformes; Salmonidae.